CAGUCGAGAAGUCAUGUUCCUUAGGCCAAUCAGCAGUUGAGUUUUCAUUAACCAUUUGAGCUUUUUAACAUACUUUUUUUAGUAUUAAAUGCAAAUUGUACCAAAAUAAUGUUAACUUUAUCUAUAAUACGACAUGCAGCAGGGUUGUCGUGGAGACGAAGUUGUUCUUCUAUCUGGUCUCUUUCAGCACGAAAUUUGAAGUAUCAUCUUUUCUCACAACUGAUCAUUUUACACAAGUACUUGCUUUUGAAGUCCAUCAGCAAGGUGAGACAGUCGUGUGGUACUCGGAUAUUCAAGUGUGCAAACGUAAACUUUCGU
RNAcentral lists this long non-coding RNA (318 nucleotides) under Androctonus crassicauda. The record is from RNAcentral. Lineage: Eukaryota; Metazoa; Arthropoda; Arachnida; Scorpiones; Buthidae.